UGAAAGACUUGAACAGAGAGAAGGGAGCAGGAAGAAAAGGAGGGGGGAAGACAACGACAGAAAGAGACAGUGACAGGAAAGGAAGAAAAUGAGUAAGUUUGGUUUGAUUUAUGAUGAGAGAGCAGAAUAAGGAAUCAAAAUGGAUAGAAUGAAUAUGACUAUAAUGUUUUGGAAGCAUGUGGGGAUUGAGGAUUGAUAAGUGGGUGGAGAAGAGAGAGAAUGCAUAGAGGUGGAACAUGAACUGAAAGCUGGGGAUUGAAAAGGAAGAAAAAUGAAAGAUGAAGACAGCCAUGGGAGGACUGAGGAAUGAUAAUGAAAACAGGACGAUGUCAAGGAAAGAGAGCUAUGACGGUGAGCCGAGGCAUAAGGAGAGAUCAAUUUUUUGAUAAAUAAGGGAAGAGGCUGCACAAAAUAAACAACUAUACGGACAGAGGGAGGUUGGAGCAGAGUGUCCUCGAUACCAAAUGAGCCCCGGUUACAAUGAGAGUGAACUGAAUAAAAUGAGGGUUCUUGGACAAAGCUGAAAUAGCGUGAAACAGCAACAAGGACAAGAGCCAUCCUUGAGUCAGUUCCAUUAUAAGUGGUUAAAAUCUUUUACCCCAUUACUUAUGGUCUUAUAGGAGAAAAAAA
Myripristis murdjan (pinecone soldierfish) is the source of this 630-nucleotide long non-coding RNA. RefSeq lists it as uncharacterized. The record is from RefSeq and is a predicted model, not a curated record. Lineage: Eukaryota; Metazoa; Chordata; Actinopteri; Holocentriformes; Holocentridae. The transcript has 2 exons.